CCUACGGGUGGCAGCAGUGGGGAAUAUUGGACAAUGGGCGAAAGCCUGAUCCAGCCAUGCCGCGUGUGUGAAGAAGGCCUUCGGGUUGUAAAGCACUUUCAGUGGGGAAGAAAGCCUUGGGGCUAAUACCCUCGAGGAAGGACAUCACCCACAGAAGAAGCACCGGCUAACUCCGUGUCAGCAGCCGCGGUAAUACGGAGGGUGCGAGCGUUAAUCGGAAUUACUGGGCGUAAAGCGCGCGUAGGCGGUCUGAUAAGCCGGUUGUGAAAGCCCCGGGCUCAACCUGGGAACGGCAUCCGGAACUGUCAGGCUAGAGUGCAGGAGAGGAAGGUAGAAUUCCCGGUGUAGCGGUGAAAUGCGUAGAGAUCGGGAGGAAUACCAGUGGCGAAGGCGGCCUUCUGGACUGACACUGACGCUGAGGUGCGAAAGCGUGGGUAGCAAACAGGAUUAGAUACCCUAGUAGUC
Molecule: ribosomal RNA, 465 nt
Filed under: Vreelandella stevensii
Lineage: Bacteria; Pseudomonadati; Pseudomonadota; Gammaproteobacteria; Oceanospirillales; Halomonadaceae
Description: partial 16S ribosomal RNA
Rfam family: Bacterial small subunit ribosomal RNA
Source: RNAcentral